GGCUUUAUAUUCAUCAAUGAUAUUAGACUGCAAUUCUAAAGGAGUAAAAAAGUUUUUACUAAAGCUU
RNAcentral lists this transfer RNA (67 nucleotides) under Propsilocerus paradoxus. RNAcentral's name for it is "tRNA-Cys". Lineage: Eukaryota; Metazoa; Arthropoda; Insecta; Diptera; Chironomidae. The record is from RNAcentral.